This 637-nucleotide ribosomal RNA is filed under the name Micrococcus sp. PLB121. RNAcentral describes it as "bacterial SSU rRNA". It matches the Rfam family "Bacterial small subunit ribosomal RNA", at positions 158 to 809 of the family's 1533-position model. Lineage: Bacteria; Bacillati; Actinomycetota; Actinomycetes; Micrococcales; Micrococcaceae. The record is from RNAcentral.
UGGGUCUAAUACCGGAUAGGAGCGUCCACCGCAUGGUGGGUGUUGGAAAGAUUUAUCGGUUUUGGAUGGACUCGCGGCCUAUCAGCUUGUUGGUGAGGUAAUGGCUCACCAAGGCGACGACGGGUAGCCGGCCUGAGAGGGUGACCGGCCACACUGGGACUGAGACACGGCCCAGACUCCUACGGGAGGCAGCAGUGGGGAAUAUUGCACAAUGGGCGCAAGCCUGAUGCAGCGACGCCGCGUGAGGGAUGACGGCCUUCGGGUUGUAAACCUCUUUCAGUAGGGAAGAAGCGAAAGUGACGGUACCUGCAGAAGAAGCACCGGCUAACUACGUGCCAGCAGCCGCGGUAAUACGUAGGGUGCGAGCGUUAUCCGGAAUUAUUGGGCGUAAAGAGCUCGUAGGCGGUUUGUCGCGUCUGUCGUGAAAGUCCGGGGCUUAACCCCGGAUCUGCGGUGGGUACGGGCAGACUAGAGUGCAGUAGGGGAGACUGGAAUUCCUGGUGUAGCGGUGGAAUGCGCAGAUAUCAGGAGGAACACCGAUGGCGAAGGCAGGUCUCUGGGCUGUAACUGACGCUGAGGAGCGAAAGCAUGGGGAGCGAACAGGAUUAGAUACCCUGGUAGUCCAUGCCGUAAACGU